GAUGAACGCUGACAGAGGCUUAAACAUGCAAGUCGACUUGAACUUCGGUUUGGGUGGCGGGACGGGUGAGUAACGCGUAAAGAACUUGCCUCACAGAUAGGGACAACAUUUGGAAACGAAAUGCUAAUACCUGAUAUUAUGAUUAUAUGGCAUCGUAUAAUUAUGAAAAGCUAUAUGCGCUGUGAGAGAGCUUUGCGUCCCAUUAGCUAGUGGGAGAGGUAACGGCUCACCAAGGGCGAUGAUGGGUAGCCGGCCUGAGAGGGUGAUCGGCCCACAAGGGGACUGAGACACGGCCCUUACUCCUACGGGGAGGCAGCAGUGGGGAAUAUUGGACAAUGGACCAAGAGUCUGAUCCAGCAAUUCUGUGUGCACGAUGAAGUUUUUCGGAAUGUAAAGUGCUUUCAGUUGGGAAGAAAAAAAUGACGGUACCAACAGAAGAAGUGACGGCUAAAUACGUGCCAGCAGCCGCGGUAAUACGUAUGUCACAAGCGUUAUCCGGAUUUAUUGGGCGUAAAGCGCGUCUAGGUGGUUAUGUAAGUCUGAUGUGAAAAUGCAGGGCUCAACUCUGUAUUGCGUUGGAAACUGUGUAACUAGAGUACUGGAGAGGUAAGCGGAACUACAAGUGUAGAGGUGAAAUUCGUAGAUAUUCGUAGGAAUGCCGAUGGGGAAGCCAGCUUACUGGACAGAUACUGACGCUGAAGCGCGAAAGCGUGGGUAGCAAACAGG
Molecule: ribosomal RNA, 726 nt
Filed under: uncultured Fusobacterium sp.
Lineage: Bacteria; Fusobacteriati; Fusobacteriota; Fusobacteriia; Fusobacteriales; Fusobacteriaceae
Description: bacterial SSU rRNA
Rfam family: Bacterial small subunit ribosomal RNA
Source: RNAcentral